GACGAACGCUGGCGGCGUGCCUAAUACAUGCAAGUCGAACGCACUGACAGAGAAACUUGUUUCUCUUGACGUGAGUGGCGCACGGGUGAGUAACACGUGGGAAACCUACCCUUCAGCGGGGGAUAACCGUCGGAAACGAUGGCUAAUACCGCAUAGGUCUUUUAACCGCCUGGCUGAAAGAGGAAAGACGGCUUCGGCUGUCACUGAAGGAUGGUCCCGCGGUGCAUUAGCUAGUUGGUAAGGUAACGGCUUACCAAGGCGAUGAUGCAUAGCCGACCUGAGAGGGUGAUCGGCCACAUUGGGACUGAGACACGGCCCAAACUCCUACGGGAGGCAGCAGUAGGGAAUCUUCCGCAAUGGACGAAAGUCUGACGGAGCAACGCCGCGUGUGUGAAGAAGGUCUUCGGAUCGUAAAAGCACUGUUAUUAGAGAAGAACACCCGGUAAAGUAACUGUUACCGGCUUGACGGUAUCUAACCAGAAAGCCAAGGCUAACUACGUGACA
RNAcentral lists this ribosomal RNA (504 nucleotides) under uncultured bacterium. Its description in RNAcentral is "bacterial SSU rRNA". It matches the Rfam family "Bacterial small subunit ribosomal RNA", at positions 28 to 510 of the family's 1533-position model. The record is from RNAcentral.